RNAcentral lists this ribosomal RNA (202 nucleotides) under uncultured bacterium. RNAcentral's name for it is "partial 16S ribosomal RNA". It matches the Rfam family "Bacterial small subunit ribosomal RNA", at positions 328 to 538 of the family's 1533-position model. The record is from RNAcentral.
ACGCUCGACACCUACGGGAGCAGCAGUGGGGAAUAUUGGGCAAUGGGCGCAAGCCUGACCCAGCAACGCCGCGUGAAGGAAGAAGGCCCUCGGGUUGUAAACUUCUUUUAUCAGGGACGAAGCAAGUGACGGUACCUGAUGAAUAAGCCACGGCUAACUACGUGCCAGCAGCCGCGGUAAUCUGAGGCGGGCUGGACAAGGC